Molecule: long non-coding RNA, 218 nt
Organism: Cyprinodon tularosa
Lineage: Eukaryota; Metazoa; Chordata; Actinopteri; Cyprinodontiformes; Cyprinodontidae
Exons: 3
Source: RefSeq, a predicted model, not a curated record
UUUUUGCUUUCACUUACAGACCAGACUCAGAAGGACAUGGAAAGACACAAAUCAGUAUAGAGGUUGCAUGAAGGUGAAGAAGGGGCAAAAUGCAGCAAUUUUUAGUGGCAGUUUUUCUGGUGACAAUCUCAGGACUACUCCAAGAAACAAACGGCUGUGAUUCUGAGGAAAACGUAACUGAUUACAUCAAUGAAGAUGUCGUUUUGCCAUGUAACUGU